GGAAUUGUUGGAUGAGCUGGAUGUCCAUCUUUCAAACAUCCCUGAAACUGGCCCUCCGCUGAUACUUCUGUGCGACUUCAACAUCCAGACAGAGAAGUCAGCUGCCUUUUUACAUCUUCUCUCUUCUUUUGCCCUCUCACUCUCGCCUUCCCCACCCACUCACAAAGCUGGCAACCAUCUAGAUAUCAUAUUCCCCUGAUACUGCUCUACAUCCAACCUCACCGUUACU
Etheostoma spectabile (orangethroat darter) is the source of this 229-nucleotide long non-coding RNA. RefSeq lists it as uncharacterized. The record is from RefSeq and is a predicted model, not a curated record. The transcript has 4 exons. NCBI's taxonomy places the organism in Eukaryota, Metazoa, Chordata, Actinopteri, Perciformes, Percidae.